GCAUCUAAGCGCGAAGCCCCCCUCAAGAUGAGAUUUCCCACUGGCUAGACCAGGUAAGACCCCUUGUAGAUGACAAGGUAGAUCGGUCCGAGGUGUAAGCGUGGCAACACGUUCAGCUGACGGAUACGAAUCGGUCGAGGACUUCUCCU
RNAcentral lists this ribosomal RNA (149 nucleotides) under Melghirimyces thermohalophilus. RNAcentral's name for it is "23S rRNA. Bacterial LSU". It matches the Rfam family "Bacterial large subunit ribosomal RNA", at positions 2777 to 2925 of the family's 2925-position model. Lineage: Bacteria; Bacillati; Bacillota; Bacilli; Caryophanales; Thermoactinomycetaceae. The record is from RNAcentral.